Molecule: small RNA, 49 nt
Filed under: Arabidopsis thaliana (thale cress)
Lineage: Eukaryota; Viridiplantae; Streptophyta; Magnoliopsida; Brassicales; Brassicaceae
Description: ATSL240250
Source: RNAcentral
CCUGGGUUCCGUUUAGCUCAAUCCCUUUUUAGGAAAGACUCCGUGGCUC